CGGCUGAGGGCCCUGAAGAAGUGGACUCUUCAGGGGGUAAACCAUUUGACUACCAUCAUUCACAAAGGCCUUAGAGAUGGAGUCCAAGCCCAUCUCAUUAGUAGCCAACUCUUCUGCACGUUCAAGGCUAUCCUGCACAUCAAUGGAGAACACCACAGAGAUUGCCUGUAAAUCCCUUCCUUUCUCAGUGUCUCUGAAGCCUUGGGCUGCAGUGCCUGCCACCUUACUGUCCUGGCCUUGCUGUAUAGUGCAGAGCCUCAUGAGCACUUCCUCCAUGGUUUGAAAUCAGUGCUGCUUCAGCUUCUUCUGAAUGGGGCAUUACCUUUGCCCUCUGAAGAGUUUGGGGACAAGAUCCUUGUGGAGGAGCUGUAACAUAUGUCCAGAGCUGAGUUCAAACAAACCACCAUGGAAAUUCCAAGCUUGGCGAGCCAACGUGGCCCCAGCAGGCAGCACACCUACAGAUCUGCACUGCGGCCAGCACACUCCUGGCACCCAACAAGCACUCGGUAAGUGCUCGCUUAAUGAAUGAGCCUGGCCCUGGGG
This 543-nucleotide long non-coding RNA is filed under the name Ictidomys tridecemlineatus (thirteen-lined ground squirrel). RNAcentral's name for it is "lncRNA (ENSSTOG00000033641.1)". Lineage: Eukaryota; Metazoa; Chordata; Mammalia; Rodentia; Sciuridae. The record is from RNAcentral.